Long non-coding RNA from Alligator sinensis (Chinese alligator), 865 nucleotides. RefSeq lists it as uncharacterized. The transcript is spliced from 4 exons. NCBI's taxonomy places the organism in Eukaryota, Metazoa, Chordata, Crocodylia, Alligatoridae. The record is from RefSeq and is a predicted model, not a curated record.
GUCCAGUUCACACCAGGGCUGGGCCGGGGCUUGUGUGAUGCAAUGCCCAGUCAACGCUUCCUCUGUGCCAUGGCUCCCCAGCCUCUAGGUGCACACACAGGGCCUGUGUUGUGGUGUCUCCUCCUAGCCACACUGGUCUCUGGGGAUCCUUCCUGCAGGAGGUGUCCAGUAUCCCCCCAGGACCAUUGCUGUAGGAAUACCAGACUCUGCACAUGCAAAGGACAGUCCUUGGACAUAUGGCUCAACUCAUCAAGCACCCGCUUCGACCUUUGCAAGUGCAAUGCCUCAAUAUGCUGUAUGGCCUACACCUUCUCAAAGAAGAUUCCACUGAACUACACCAAUGACUUCCAAGGACAGGCAAUUAUGAAGCAAGGGACAUUCCAUGCUCCAGAAGUCAGCAAAGGGGACGACGGUUCCUACAGGUUCUUCAAUAUAGAUCACAACACCUGUUUGCUGAAGGUUGACAUUGAACUGUCAAGAGCUGCAGCCUGGCCUUUGUGCACUAUGCUACUGCUGUUGCUGGGCUUGGUGACUUCAAUUGUUCUCUGAUGGGAGAUGGAAGGGACCUUGUGCCACCUUGAAUGGCAACUGAGUGGUGCAGGCAGGGCUGGGAUGGCUCUGUAGCUUGUUUCCAACCUCAUAGCCAACCUUUGAAAAGUGUUAUCACCAGAAAUGCUGAGUACAUCUUCCUUUGACAGACAUCUCCCCUGUGGAUCUAUCUGUGACAGUCUGAACUAUUGUUUUGGAACAUUUCUGCAUUUAAUAUGUGUGUGCUGUGAGUGGAAGGGAUUUACAACAUCGUCUGCUUGAAUUAUGGUGCUGAAUUAAUCAGUUCUGUGCUGCUGAGGGUCUCUCGGUUGUCUCG